UACAGAGGUCUCAAGCGUUGUUCGGAUUCAUUGGGCGUAAAGGGUGUGUAGGUGGCACCGUAAGUCGGGUGUGAAAUUUCGGAGCUUAACUCCGAAACUGCAUUCGAUACUGGCGUGCUUGAGGACUGGAGAGGAGACUGGAAUUCAUGGUGUAGCAGUGAAAUGCGUAGAGAUGCGGAGGAACACCGAUGGCGAAGGCAGCCCCCUGGGCUAGCACUGACGCUCAGGCACGAAAGCGUGGGGAGCAAACAGG
This 253-nucleotide ribosomal RNA is filed under the name uncultured bacterium. Its description in RNAcentral is "partial 16S ribosomal RNA". It matches the Rfam family "Bacterial small subunit ribosomal RNA", at positions 524 to 776 of the family's 1533-position model. The record is from RNAcentral.